This 432-nucleotide ribosomal RNA is filed under the name Epicauta pensylvanica (black blister beetle). Its description in RNAcentral is "partial large subunit ribosomal RNA". It matches the Rfam family "Bacterial large subunit ribosomal RNA", at positions 1930 to 2574 of the family's 2925-position model. Lineage: Eukaryota; Metazoa; Arthropoda; Insecta; Coleoptera; Meloidae. The record is from RNAcentral.
GCCGCAGUAUUUUGACUGUGCAAAGGUAGCAUAAUCAUUAGUUUUUUAAUUGAAAGCUGGAAUGAAGGGCUGGAUGAGAAAAAAGCUGUCUCAUAUUAAUUUUCAUUUAAUUUUAUCUUUAAGUUAAAAAGCUUGGAUUUUAUAAAAAGACGAGAAGACCCUUUAGAGUUUAAUAAAUAUAGAUUUCAAUUGUAUGAGGUUUACUAUUAUUAUUAAAGUUUAAUUUAUUUUGUUGGGGUGACACAAGAAUUGAAUUAACUUCUUUUUAUGUUAACAUUGAUAAAUGAAUAAAUGAUCCUUCAGUUUGGAUUACAAGAAUAAAUUACCUUAGGGAUAACAGCGUAAUUCUUUUAGAGAGUUCAAAUCAAUAAAAGGGAUUGCGACCUCGAUGUUGGAUUAAAGUAAAAUUUAGGCGCAGAAGCUUAAGUUUUG